GAUGAACGCUGGCGGCGUGCUUAACACAUGCAAGUCGAACGGUGAAGCAGAGCUUGCUCUGUGGAUCAGUGGCGAACGGGUGAGUAACACGUGAGCAACCUGCCCCUGACUCUGGGAUAAGCGCUGGAAACGGCGUCUAAUACUGGAUAUGAGCUGCGACCGCAUGGUCAGCAGUUGGAAAGAUUUUUCGGUCUGGGAUGGGCUCACGGCCUAUCAGCUUGUUGGUGAGGUAAUGGCUCACCAAGGCGUGGACGGGUAGCCGGCCUGAGAGGGUGACCGGACAAGCUGGGAGUGAGAGAAGGCACGGACCUCGCGGGGGAGGAGAGGAGGGAGAAAGUGAAAAAUGGGGAAAGGUAGAAGUAAGCAGGGGGGCGGGAGGAGGGAAGGGCUUGGGGUUGUAAACAUUUUUUGGGGGGGAAGAAGCGGAGGAGACGGGACCUGGAGAAAAAUCAACGGAUAAAUAGGA
Molecule: ribosomal RNA, 466 nt
Filed under: uncultured bacterium
Lineage: Bacteria
Description: partial 16S ribosomal RNA
Rfam family: Bacterial small subunit ribosomal RNA
Source: RNAcentral